AACACCUCAAAGCUUUCCAUUUUUUGAAAAGCCUUGGACUUGAGCGAACCCAACACCUUUCUAUUUCAGAUCGGCGGCGGGUUGCUUGAAAUGCAGGUGCAGCUGGACAUUCUCCUGAGCUAAAAGCAUAUUUAUUUAGUCCCGUCAAACGGAUUAUUACUUUUGCUGCAGCUUACAUAAAGGGAGUUUGACCUUAUUGGCUGACUGAUGCAGGAUUUCACAAGGGUCGGCAACGAUUUUUGUAAA
This 246-nucleotide unclassified non-coding RNA is filed under the name Linnemannia fatshederae. RNAcentral's name for it is "Mortierella fatshederae partial internal transcribed spacer 2". The record is from RNAcentral. Lineage: Eukaryota; Fungi; Mortierellomycota; Mortierellomycetes; Mortierellales; Mortierellaceae.